UAAUAAGACUCUAAAGUCAGUUAAAUAUAUAUUUUUUAAAACUACGAUUGUAAAUUCUUUUCUUCUUAGCAAAUACAUAAACUAGCACUAAUAAGAAACAAUUUAUAAGAAAAUUAAAAUAAAAUGUUGCAUCUUUGAGAAACAAUAUUUAUUCUGAGAUCAAGAAGUUAUAUCUUAACAUGCUCGUUUUCUUCGAUAAAUAAUUGAGUCAAUACCAUUUUCAAAAGUUAAGUUGAAUAAAUUUUAAAGUCUCCACCAGGCUUUUAAAACAUUACGCCAGUACCGGUCCAAAUCAGGCCGCCGCACCGUGGGAUUUUUAAUGGAUUUUAAAUAAAAACAUUUUAUUUUAUACUUUUAGUUAAAAAGAGAGGACAGAAAUAAAAUGAGGAAAAAUUAAAUGACAGGUAACCCCACUUUUCCUUCAAAAAAAACUAAUGCAUAUACAUGGUAAAAGUACAUAUAUGUAGUGCAAAACUUUCUUUUACUUUUAUGCUGCAUUGAAGGUAAGAAGUUAUCCUCACUAUUGCCUUAAAGCAUCGGGAUGCACUCGUUAUUAAUAUGUAACUCGGUUUGUUUUAAGCAAUGGGAAAUACUAAAAAGAAAACAAUGUUUCUUUAGAGUCAUUUAAACUUUAAUUAAAAUUAACUACAACAAAUAAAGUUCUAUUUACCUGCUGAUACCUGCUGACUACCAAAUUCUAUUAGAUGAAGUAACAAUAAAGCCUUAAAACAGUGUAAAAUUAUUAGGAGUAACAUUGGAUCAGCAUCUAACCUUUAAACAGCAGAUCGAGUCGGUAAUAAAAAAAUGCCACUCUUCUCUGGGAAUGUUGGCAAGACCAUCAGCAAGCCUACCAAAAAAAUUAUUUAAGUUGGCCUACAACGAAAUGGUGCUUAGUCAAAUGGAAUUUAUUAGUUCAUUCUAUAUUUCAAUAUCAAACACCUAUAUAAAAAAAUUAGACGUAGUACAAAAACAAGCCGCAAGAAUCAUUUCCUAUGCACCACGAAAUUCCCAUGCUGCACCAUUAAUUAAAGAACUUGGUUUUAAUGCACUAGAAGAUCGAAGAACGGAUUAUGCAAUGAAAAUAAUUUUAUCAGUUGCUAAAGGAAAAUGCUAUCCUGCUUUAAACGAACUUAUCCAAGUAAAGAAGGAAAGUCUUUUAAAAAUAACAGUAUCAAAUAAUACAUAUUGUAAAAAAAGAUUUUGUGUCUCUAAAGCCAUUCUGUACAAUAAAGAAUUACAAAAACAGAGAGAAAAAGACAAAAAUUAAAAAAAAACAAAAAAAACACAAAAAAUAUAAAAUAACAAAAAUACAAAAAAAUAUAAAACAUUAAAAAUACAAAAAAAAAAAGUUAAAUUCGAGCAGCGGAAGAAAGACCGGAUACUAAAGUCAAAUAAAAUAAAUUACAAAGAAGCGCAAAUAGAAAAACCUAUAAAGGACCAAAUAAUAGAACAUUCUCCAAAGGCAUAGCUGUCUAGCUGUCAUCGAAAGAAAAUUAAAAUUUACUAUUAAUACUACUAUUAAGAUUGAUAACUUUUAGACAUAAAGCAAACUUGCGCUUGAUUAUUCUUUUUAUUUAUACAUUAUUUCGUAUAUCAAAAAAAGAUGCUUUACAACUUAUUGAGUUACAGAACUUGGGAACAUCAAAAACUCCGAAGCUCUGCAAUCAUUGUUUUGGUUUUUAAAACUAAAAUAAAAACUGUAAUUCUUAAUAAAAAAACUAUAAUUAAUUUUAGUUGCAACCGUAUAACAUAUUCUUCAAAAUAAAUCAAAACAAAAUAAACAACUCAGAGUAGUUUUAAUUAGUUAAACAAAACAACUUACGAUUAGCAAUGCAAUGUUAUCACCAAAAAAAUAAUCAACUUAUAGUAAAACCUAUAUAAAGUUUUAAAAUCAUUUUAUAACUUUUAAUCGGCGAAAAGAAAAAUCAAUAAAACUUUAAAUCGACGAAGAGGAAAAGAAAAUUUGUUCGUUAUAUUCGAAUAUUUAGAAAUUUCUUUAAGGCGGACAGCUUUGAAGAGGUCAGCGAUUUAUCUAAACUAUAAGUUUAUUUUCAAGACUGGAAAGAAAAGUUUAUUUUCAAGACUGGAAAGAAUAGCUAAAAAAAUAAGCUCAAGCCAAAUUAAACUUCAGAGAUUUUUAUAAUCAACAAUAUUAGACACCCUAAAAAAACUCUUUAUUGAUAAGGAAAUAAUUUAGGUAAUGUUCGAGUUGCUAAUCAAAAUUUAAAAGGUCAAUAGAAGUAGCGAGAGAAAACUUAUCCAAGUUGUUGACAUUAAGUUUUGACAUUGUUGAAUUUUAAGCAGUUUUUGUUUUAAUGGUUACCAAACAAAAUAAGAAAAUUAUAAUACAGAGCUUUUGAAACUUUUGAAACAGUUAUGUGUAGUUUUUAAAAAAUGUUGAUCUGCUUGGAAUCUUGACGUUGCAGAAAACGAAGUUCAAGUCGACAAGUGCAAUAAUUGGUUAAUUUUUUCUUUUUUUUUGUUAUUGUAGAAUGCUUAAAAUGUCUAAAAAAGUUAAUCUUGUUCAAAUCAAGGAUACUUAUAAAGAAGAAAAGUUGGAACAUUUCUUACCAGAUGUUCAUAAGGACAAAUCAUUUAAACUUACUAAUAGAGAUGUUAAAGGUGGUGUUUAUCAUUUUUUAAAUUUGGAAAACUCUUUGAAAAAAUCAAAUCAACUAGAAACUAGUUCUUGUUUACCCGUAAUAAACAAAUGGUCGUCGUCUUUUAUUUGUUCUUCUAAUUGCACUACAGAAAAAAAACAAGAUAAAAUAAAACUGCCAUCUAUUGAUAGUUUGAACAAUAAUUUGAACAAAAAUCAAACAAAACAACGUCACUGGAGGAAAAAAUAAAGUUAUUAAUUUUUUUAAAAUAUAAAUCUUUUUAUAGCGUA
Molecule: non-coding RNA, 2890 nt
Organism: Hydra vulgaris (swiftwater hydra)
Lineage: Eukaryota; Metazoa; Cnidaria; Hydrozoa; Anthoathecata; Hydridae
Source: RefSeq, a predicted model, not a curated record